This 3586-nucleotide long non-coding RNA is filed under the name Podarcis lilfordi (Lilford's wall lizard). Lineage: Eukaryota; Metazoa; Chordata; Lepidosauria; Squamata; Lacertidae. The record is from RNAcentral.
CAAUGAGAAGGAACCCCCUGUGAUUAUUGACUGAAUAGAUUUUCUCAUUUAAAACUGGCAAAUUUCAGAUUGCUCUGAAUAUGCAUGGGAAAGUCCUAAUGGCAAAUACACAAGCACAGAGCCAGGCCAUUUUUAAGAACACCUAAAAUGCAAAGAUCCCAUCUUAGGAAUAAAUUCACUCACAAGACAGAUGUAACCAUAAAAACGUAAGAAUGUCGUCACACUGCAGUUCACGUGGCUGCUGACAAACAAGGAGGAGGGAAUUGGAGAAAGAGGCAGCUGAGGGGAACAGCUGAGACUGGUGAGUGAGCAGACAGGUGGAGAGUGACUAGAGAGGCAGGUGGACAGAGAGCUGAAGCUUGUGAGUGAGCAGGCAGGUGAGUAAGACUGGUGAGAAGAGUGGGUAACCCAGGCCACUGAGUGGAGCAUUGGUGGGCUAUGAGGAAAAAGGCAGGUGAGCAGCAAGGAGGAAGGGGAAUUGGGCAAGGUAUAAGAGGAAGAAGGGGAUUGGACAGGGGGUGGGGUUUGGCAGAUGACAGGUAGGUGGGUUGAUGAGUGAAGCACACAGGGGCAACAGCCCCUAGUGUAUAUAUAAAGUGGUUCAUAAAAACAUAUCGACUUGGAGGCUUUCUACACCUCAGCCUUAUAGAUAUGAACACUAUGUUGUAUUCCAAUAGUGAAGAGAUAAUAGAUUGGAAAGUGUUGAGGAGAUUCGUUAACAUCUGAAGGCCUGCUGUAGGGUUCACUGAAAGUGAAACUUCAAAUAAUGUACCAUUUUAUGCACACUAUUUGUGGUUGUUUUCUCAUGAUAAAUAGCGAUUUCAGUCAUGCAGAUCAGGGACGUUUGCCUGCUUGGGCUCAAGGAAAGGUUGUUGGGAAAAGGAUCUGCCCCUUCGUCUAUUUAUUUGUUUGUUACAGAAAUCACUCUGUCCCAUGAAGGUGAUGACCUUGGCACUCUUGGUGUAAUAUAUUUCACUGGGCUGUUGUAAAAAAAGGAAAGGAAGGGCAUUUGUAGGAGAACAAAAAAGUAAAACAGUGUGUUCUAAACAAAUAUAGACGGGGGGUGUGUGUGUGUGUGUGGUGUACAAUUCUGCCUUGCGCUCUCUAAAAAGAGCCCCUAUCCAUAGAUCUUCAGAGAUGAAGCAAUGUCCUAAGUUAAGGCCUCCAUUUUUUCCUUCCUCUCAGAUCCGCCACCAUUCGAAAGGCUCUGCAAUAAAAGUGAUGUCAACAUAUGCAAUCCUGGUUGGGCCAAAAACUCCCAUAAAGACAUAAGAAGAGCCCUGCUGGAUCAGAUGAUUGGCCUACCUAGUCCAGCGUCCUGUUCCCCACAGUGGAUAGCCAAAUGACUCUGGGAAGCCCACAAGAAGAAUAUAGGUGCCUUCGCCUUCUCUUGUUGCUGUUUCCCAACAACUGGUGUUCAGUGGCAGGGUUUUUAUUUUUAUUUUGGAGGUAGUAUAUAGACACCAUAACUAGUAACCUUAUACUUCAUGAAUCUGUACAUCGUGCAGAAAUGUUUAGCCAGCUUAAACUCUGAAGAGCAGUUGACCCAAAGUAGAUUAUGCGAUAAGUCAUGCUGAAUGAGCUAUCUGGGCCGAUGAAAGGCGGCUCAUAAGGUAAGAAUGUUUUAGAAUUCUGGGUAAUAGAGGGUGCUGAUUGGGAAAUGAUGAGGUGGUGAGUAUUCCAAUAAUAAGUCAAUUUUCUCUGUGGCUUCUGAAUUCCUUCUGAAGGACUUAUUAGGUAAUCAACCCGGCAGGAGACUUCACUGCUGCUUACAAGUUCCAUUUAUGCGCAUAUCCUCCAGCUGUUGAGCUUGUCUUGCGUCCGCUGUGCUUGAAACAGGUUUCUGCUUUAGCGAUACCAGCUCAGCAGUUGGUGCAAGUCAAAGGAAAGCCACUCAGUGGCAGCUGCGAAGGGCGACCCAACAGCCCAGAACUAACCUGCUAUGAGCUGCAGAGCCCAGUGAUCCAGAAAAGUGCUGUCAUUUCAAGAAUAAAUGCAGAGUCUGGGGACCCUGAGCAGAGGCACUGCCUGCUUUUCCUUAUGGGGGCAAACAAUGUUAUAGCAUCAUAAAGGCCUCUUCGUAUGUAAUAGAUGUACUUGCCCCGCUGUGGGAACAAAGCAGGGAAACUUUCCUAUUUGUCCUUAGACAACUUUGUCACAAUUUAAGUCUCACUCUGAAUUUUCAAAGGCAUCUCAUUUAAGUGUCUAGCAGAUGCAAGAUGGGAGCUGAGGCAAAUGUGAGCAUCAUCACAAAGGGUGUUGUCAGGGAACUGCCAUCAGUGCCGGAGGGAGAGAGCAAAAUCCAGAGGGAUUCCAGAGAGCGUCCUGGGAUUGGGAGAGGCAGCCCAUCUUCUGGGGAAGAGAAUCAGCGUAGCACCAGUGGAGAAGGGGGGCAGAUGGGGGAAGCGGCAAGGCGGUCCCAUGACUCCUUGCCGGGGACCAGCGGGGAGAGUAGAGGUCCUCCGCUGCCUAUGCCCUCCUUGCGCAGAAGGCUUUCACGCAGAGAGAGUAGGAGGAGACUAGGCGUCAAAGAGCUUCUUUGCUGGAAGAAGUUUAAGAAAUGCCCACUGACGGAUUCUGCCAGCGAUUGAGACAGCCACAGGUGAGUGGCUGUCCAGACAGAAAAGGUUCACUCAGGCAACUCAGCCAGGUGUUUGCACCGGCUUACGCACAAGCAACCCCUAGAACCACUACAGGUGUCUAUAUAGCCUCCAAUUACACCAUAGGAAGAAACCACAGAUUUGGUGAUGGAAAUUGUACCUCAUUUAAAGCCAAUGUGCCCCACUGCUUUUCACAUUCACCCUGGUGAUAGGUUGUUUCCCUCUUCUUCCAAGCAGCAGCAUGUUCUGGAAGAAGCUUUGUGGGAUACAUUGUGAAAAGAGAGGCCUGUGGAACUCUUCAUGAUAUCUGUUUACAGUACUCAUAAAUAUAUCACUUGUCAUGCUUUCAACAUCAAGUGAUUAUCUUGCCAUCAAAUGAUUAUUAUUUGGAACCAAUCAGGCUUGAUAGGAAAACGCAACUUCUCAUUUGGAACGAAUCAAGCUUGAUAUAAUAAUGCAAUAUGAGUCUGUAUGAGUCAUUUGCAGCAGGGUCACUACCUAAUCAAUCAUGUGAUAAUAGGGGAUGCUUGAGCAUUUUGCUCCUUUGCUAAUUCUGAUAUGAACUGAGCUGAUCCACACUUCCUGGGUUAAUGUACACAGUGCUUUUUUCCUGGGGGGACGCAGGGGUACGCAUACCCCUAAACAUUUUGUGAAUCUAAGUUUGGCCUCAUUGAGGGGCAUUAUUUCAAUGUGAGUAGGAAAAUGAGAGAUCCCCUAAACAUUAUUAUUAUUUUUAGGAAAAAAACACUGAAUGUACAAAUUGGAACCUGUUUAUCCACCCACUUUUGAACUUCCUAAAUGUGUAUACAUGGUUGUGCACAUAUUGAACAUGCAGAAACAGGUGGCUGCCUAUACUUUUGAAAACAACAGCAACACAACAAUGAAUUUUCCCCAAGGCUGUUUCUUAUCAGUCACAUUCAAAACUUAGCAUUUCUCCCAGUCCAUAAAAUUUCAAAAUGCCCUUUCAAUACAAAGUCCGAUCCUGG